RNAcentral lists this ribosomal RNA (505 nucleotides) under uncultured bacterium. RNAcentral's name for it is "bacterial SSU rRNA". It matches the Rfam family "Bacterial small subunit ribosomal RNA", at positions 59 to 586 of the family's 1533-position model. The record is from RNAcentral.
AAGUCGCAGGGGAAGCCCCUUUCGGGGGGUGGAGACUGGCGGACGGGUGAGUAACGCGUGGGAAUUUGCCCUGGGGUGGGGGACAACCGCUGGAAACGGCGGCUAAUACCGCAUACGCCCCUAUGGGAGACUGUAGGGGGAAAGCAGCGAUGCGCCCUGGGAGGAGCCCGCGUUGGAUUAGCUAGUUGGUGGGGUAACGGCCUACCAAGGCAACGAUCCAUAGCUGGUCUGAGAGGAUGAUCAGCCACACUGGGACUGAGACACGGCCCAGACUCCUACGGGAGGCAGCAGUGGGGAAUAUUGGACAAUGGGCGCAAGCCUGAUCCAGCCAUGCCGCGUGAGUGAAGAAGGCCUUAGGGUUGUAAAGCUCUUUCACCCGUGACGAUGAUGACGGUAGCGGGAGAAGAAGCCCCGGCUAACUCCGUGCCAGCAGCCGCGGUAAUACGGAGGGGGCAAGCGUUGUUCGGAAUUACUGGGCGUAAAGGGCGCGUAGGCGGACCUUCAA